RNAcentral lists this transfer RNA (73 nucleotides) under Ailuropoda melanoleuca (giant panda). It matches the Rfam family "tRNA". Rfam says of the family: Transfer RNA (tRNA) molecules are approximately 80 nucleotides in length. Their secondary structure includes four short double-helical elements and three loops (D, anti-codon, and T loops). The record is from Rfam by way of RNAcentral. Lineage: Eukaryota; Metazoa; Chordata; Mammalia; Carnivora; Ursidae.
GCCUGGCUGGCUCAGUCAGUAGAGCAUGCAACUCUUGAUCUUAGGGUCAUGAGUUCAAGUCCCAUGUUAGGCA